GUGGGGAAUUUUGGACAAUGGGCGCAAGCCUGAUCCAGCAAUGCCGCGUGCAGGAAGAAGGCCUUCUGGUUGUAAACUGCUUUUGUACGGAACGAAACGGUCCGGGUUAAUACCCUGGGCUAAUGACGGUACCGUAAGAAUAAGCACCGGCUAACUACGUGCCAGCAGCCGCGGUAAUACGUAGGGUGCAAGCGUUAAUCGGAAUUACUGGGCGUAAAGCGUGCGCAGGCGGUUUUGUAAGACAGGCGUGAAAGCCCCGGGCUCAACCUGGGAACUGCAUCUGUGACUGCAUUGCUGGAGUGCGGCAGAGGGGGAUGGCAUUCCGCGUGUAGCAGUGAAAUGCGUAGAUAUGCGGAGGAACACCGAUGGCGAAGGCAAUCCCCUGGGCCUGCACUGACGCUCAUGCACGAAAGCGUGGGGAGCAAACAGGAUUAGAUACCCCAGUAGUC
This 449-nucleotide ribosomal RNA is filed under the name uncultured bacterium. RNAcentral's name for it is "partial 16S ribosomal RNA". It matches the Rfam family "Bacterial small subunit ribosomal RNA", at positions 354 to 795 of the family's 1533-position model. The record is from RNAcentral.